AAUGGACGCUGGCGGCAGGCCUAACACAUGCAAGUCGAGCGAAAUCUUCGGACUUAGCGGCGGACGGGUGAGUAACGCGUGGGAACAUGCCCUUUGGUGCGGAAUAGCCCCGGGAAACUGGGAGUAAUACCGCAUGGGCCCUUCGGGGGAAAGAUUUAUCGCGAAAGGAUGGGCGCGCGUUGGUUUCGGUGGUUGGUGGGGUAAUGGCAUACCAAGCCGACGAUGCAUAGCUGGUGGGAGAGGAUGAUCCGCCAGGCUGGGACUGCGACACGGCCCAGACUCGGAGGGGAGGCUGCAGUGGGGAGUACUAUGCGAGGGGGCCAAGCGUGAUAACGCCACGUGGCGGAAUCGAUGCAGGGCUUAGGGUUGUAAAGAUGUUUCAGACGGGAAGAGAAUGACGGUACCCACAGAAGAAGCCCCGGCUAACUACGUG
This 433-nucleotide ribosomal RNA is filed under the name uncultured bacterium. Its description in RNAcentral is "partial 16S ribosomal RNA". It matches the Rfam family "Bacterial small subunit ribosomal RNA", at positions 29 to 507 of the family's 1533-position model. The record is from RNAcentral.